GGAUAAAAAGUUUCAGGCCCUAA
This 23-nucleotide non-coding RNA is filed under the name Arabidopsis thaliana (thale cress). The record is from RNAcentral. Lineage: Eukaryota; Viridiplantae; Streptophyta; Magnoliopsida; Brassicales; Brassicaceae.